This 2235-nucleotide ribosomal RNA is filed under the name bovine gut metagenome. RNAcentral's name for it is "bacterial LSU rRNA". It matches the Rfam family "Bacterial large subunit ribosomal RNA", at positions 532 to 2925 of the family's 2925-position model. The record is from RNAcentral.
AGGGGAGUGAAAUAGAUCUGAAACCGUGUGCCUACAAGCGGUCGGAGGCCUAUAUCCGCAAGGAGAUGGCUGACGGCGUGCCUAUUGCAUAAUGAGCCGGCGAGUUACGAUCAGCAGCAAGGUUAAGUUCAAGAGGACGAAGCCGAAGGGAAACCGAGUGCGAAUAGCGCGAAUAGUUGCUGGCCGUAGACCCGAAACUGAAGUGAUCUAUGCAUGGCCAGGGGGAAGCAGGGGUAACACCCUGUGGACGCCCGAACCAGUACCCCUUGAGAAGGGUUUGGGUGAGCUGUGCAUAGGGGUGAAAGGCCAAUCAAACUCAGUGAUAGCUGGUUCUCCUCGAAAUAGCUUUAGGGCUAGCCUUGUGUAAUAAUCAUCGGGGGUAGAGCACUGAAUCGCAGAGAGCAUUUACACCAAUGUAUCAACGCGAAUCAAACUCCGAAUACCGGUNNNNNNNNNNNNUCGAGAAUCUCCGCGCCGAAAAUGCUCGGGACUCAAGCAUACUACCGAAGCUAUGGAUUCGGUCGCAAGACCGAGUGGUAGAGGAGCGUUCUAUUCAGCUGCGAAGCGGUACUGAGAGGAGCCGUGGAGCGGAUAGAAGUGAUAAUGUCGGCAUGAGUAGCGAUAAACAAGGUGAGAAUCCUUGUCACCGAAAACCCGAGGUUUCCUGGGCCAGGUUCGUCCCCCCAGGGUUAGUCGGACCCUAAGGCGAGGCCGAAAGGCGUAGUCGAUGGAGCAGCAGGUCAAUAUUCCUGCACCUCGUUGCAACGUUAACUAUGGAAGAUAGCAGGCAGCUAUCCGGAGCGGGUAAUGGAAUACCGUUCAAGCGAUCAGUCCGCGUACAUGCAAAUCAGUACGCACCAGGGCGAAACGUGAGCAAGACUUCGCGAUCACAUCAAGAGGGAUUCUGGAAAAGCCGACUGCCGGGAAAUGCUUUCUAAGGAGGUGCAACGAGUCCGUACCGCAAACGAACACACGUGGGUGGGUAGAGAAUACUCAGGUGCGCGUAAGAACUCUUGCUAAGGAACUCGGCAAAAUAGCCCCGUAACUUCGGAAGAAGGGGCGCCCGGGGGCGUGUUAAAAGCGCUGCCGGGUCGCAGUGAAAGGCUCCAGGCGACUGUUUACCAAAAACAUAGGUAUCUGCAAAGCUAUAACAGCGAAGUAUAGGUGCUGACGCCUGCCCAAUGCUGAAAGGUUAAGGGGAAUUGUUCGGCGCAAGCCAAAGCAAUGAACCGAAGCCCCAGUGAAUGGCGGCCGUAACUAUAACGGUCCUAAGGUAGCGAAAUUCCUUGUCGGGUAAGUUCCGACCUGCACGAAUGGCAUAACGAUCUGGAGACUGUCUCAGCAAGAGAUUCGGCGAAAUUGUAGCAGCGGUGAAGAUGCCGCUUACCCGCAGCUAGACGGAAAGACCCCGUGAACCUUAACUGUACUCUGCUAUUGAGCACUGGUCUUGUAUGUGUAGGAUAGCCGGGAGACUUUGAAACCAGUUCGUCAGGAUUGGCGGAGUCACCCUUGAAAUACCGGCCUUGCAAUAUUAGCGCCCUAACGAUAAGCCCGUGGAUCCGGGUAUUGGACAGUGGCAGACGGUCAGUUUAACUGGGGCGGUUUCCUCCUAAAUUGUAACGGAGGAGCGCAAUGGUACACUCAUUCUGGUUGGCAAUCAGAAGGCGAGCGCAAACGUAUAAGUGUGCUUGACUGUGAGACAGACAAGUCGAACAGAUACGAAAGUAGGCGUUAGUGAUCCGGCGGUAGAAUAUGGAAUUGCCGUCGCUUAACGGAUAAAAGGUACUCUGGGGAUAACAGGCUGAUCGCGGCCGAGAGUUCACAUCGACGCCGCGGUUUGGCACCUCGAUGUCGGCUCUUCGCAUCCUGGGGCUGGAGAAGGUCCCAAGGGUUUGGCUGUUCGCCAAUUAAAGCGGAACGCGAGCUGGGUUCAAAACGUCGUGAGACAGUUUGGUCCUUAUCCUCUGUGGGCGCAGGAAAUUUGAGGAGAGCUGUCCCUAGUACGAGAGGACCUGAAUGGACCGACCGCUGGUGUUCCGGUUAUCCUUCCAAGGGUAUGCGCCGGGUAGCCAUGUCGGGACGGGAUAAGCACUGAAAGCAUCUAAGUGCCAAGCCCCCUCCAAGAUUAGAUUUCCCCAUCAGGCUCGUGGUAGACUACCACGUUGAUAGGCAGGAUGUGUAAGACCAGCAAUGGUUUCAGCUAACCUGUACUAAAGGCACGAUUGGCUUGAUUUA